This 2624-nucleotide ribosomal RNA is filed under the name Streptococcus pneumoniae. RNAcentral's name for it is "bacterial LSU rRNA". It matches the Rfam family "Bacterial large subunit ribosomal RNA". The record is from RNAcentral. Lineage: Bacteria; Bacillati; Bacillota; Bacilli; Lactobacillales; Streptococcaceae.
UACUCUUCGGGGUUGUAGGACUGCAAUGUGGACUCAAAGAUUAUAGAAGAAUGAUUUGGGAAGAUCAGCCAAAGAGAGUAAUAGCCUCGUAUUUAAAAUAGUCUUUGUACUUAGCAGUAUCCUGAGUACGGCGGGACACGUGAAAUCCCGUCGGAAUCUGGGAGGACCAUCUCCCAACCCUAAAUACUCCCUAGUGACCGAUAGUGAACCAGUACCGUGAGGGAAAGGUGAAAAGCACCCCGGGAGGGGAGUGAAAUAGAACCUGAAACCGUGUGCCUACAACAAGUUCGAGCCCGUUAAUGGGUGAGAGCGUGCCUUUUGUAGAAUGAACCGGCGAGUUACGUUAUGAUGCGAGGUUAAGUUGAAGAGACGGAGCCGUAGGGAAACCGAGUCUGAAUAGGGCGCCUUAGUAUCAUGACGUAGACCCGAAACCAUGUGACCUACCCAUGAGCAGGUUGAAGGUGCGGUAAGACGCACUGGAGGACCGAACCAGGGCACGUUGAAAAGUGCUUGGAUGACUUGUGGGUAGCGGAGAAAUUCCAAACGAACUUGGAGAUAGCUGGUUCUCUCCGAAAUAGCUUUAGGGCUAGCGUCGACAUUAGAGAUUCUUGGAGGUAGAGCACUGUUUGGGUGAGGGGUCCAUCCCGGAUUACCAAUCUCAGAUAAACUCCGAAUGCCAAUGAAUUAUGGUCGGCAGUCAGACUGCGAGUGCUAAGAUCCGUAGUCGAAAGGGAAACAGCCCAGACCACCAGCUAAGGUCCCAAAAUAAUUGUUAAGUGGAAAAGGAUGUGGGGUUGCACAGACAACUAGGAUGUUAGCUUAGAAGCAGCUAUUCAUUCAAAGAGUGCGUAAUAGCUCACUAGUCGAGUGACCCUGCGCCGAAAAUGUACCGGGGCUAAAACAAUUUACCGAAGCUGUGGAUACCUUUAUAGGUAUGGUAGGAGAGCGUUCUAUGUGUGAUGAAGGUAUACCGUGAGGAGUGCUGGAACGCAUAGAAGUGAGAAUGCCGGUAUGAGUAGCGAAAGACAGGUGAGAAUCCUGUCCACCGUAAGACUAAGGUUUCCAGGGGAAGGCUCGUCCGCCCUGGGUUAGUCGGGACCUAAGGAGAGACCGAAAGGUGUAUCCGAUGGACAACAGGUUGAUAUUCCUGUACUAGAGUAUGUAGUGAUGGAGGGACGCAGUAGGCUAACUAAAGCAGACGAUUGGAAGAGUCUGUCUAAGCAGUGAGGUGUGAAUUGAGUCAAAUGCUUAAUUCUAUAACAUUGAGCUGUGAUGGGGAGCGAAGUUUAGUAGCGAAGUUAGUGACGUCACACUGCCAAGAAAAGCUUCUAGCGUUUAACCAUACUCUACCCGUACCGCAAACCGACACAGGUAGUCGAGGCGAGUAGCCUCAGGUGAGCGAGAGAACUCUCGUUAAGGAACUCGGCAAAAUGACCCCGUAACUUCGGGAGAAGGGGUGCUGACUUUAAGUCAGCCGCAGUGAAUAGGCCCAAGCAACUGUUUAUCAAAAACACAGCUCUCUGCUAAAUCGUAAGAUGAUGUAUAGGGGGUGACGCCUGCCCGGUGCUGGAAGGUUAAGAGGAGUGCUUAGCGUAAGCGAAGGUAUGAAUUGAAGCCCCAGUAAACGGCGGCCGUAACUAUAACGGUCCUAAGGUAGCGAAAUUCCUUGUCGGGUAAGUUCCGACCCGCACGAAAGGCGUAAUGAUUUGGGCACUGUCUCAACGAGAGACUCGGUGAAAUUUUAGUACCUGUGAAGAUGCAGGUUACCCGCGACAGGACGGAAAGACCCCAUGGAGCUUUACUGCAGUUUGAUAUUGAGUGUCUGUACCACAUGUACAGGAUAGGUAGGAGUCUAAGAGAUCGGGACGCCAGUUUCGAAGGAGACGCUGUUGGGAUACUACCCUUGUGUUAUGGCCACUCUAACCCAGAUAGGUGAUCCCUAUCGGAGACAGUGUCUGACGGGCAGUUUGACUGGGGCGGUCGCCUCCUAAAAGGUAACGGAGGCGCCCAAAGGUUCCCUCAGAAUGGUUGGAAAUCAUUCGCAGAGUGUAAAGGUAUAAGGGAGCUUGACUGCGAGAGCUACAACUCGAGCAGGGACGAAAGUCGGGCUUAGUGAUCCGGUGGUUCCGUAUGGAAGGGCCAUCGCUCAACGGAUAAAAGCUACCCUGGGGAUAACAGGCUUAUCUCCCCCAAGAGUUCACAUCGACGGGGAGGUUUGGCACCUCGAUGUCGGCUCGUCGCAUCCUGGGGCUGUAGUCGGUCCCAAGGGUUGGGCUGUUCGCCCAUUAAAGCGGCACGCGAGCUGGGUUCAGAACGUCGUGAGACAGUUCGGUCCCUAUCCGUCGCGGGCGUAGGAAAUUUGAGAGGAUCUGCUCCUAGUACGAGAGGACCAGAGUGGACUUACCGCUGGUGUACCAGUUGUCUUGCCAAAGGCAUCGCUGGGUAGCUAUGUAGGGAAGGGAUAAACGCUGAAAGCAUCUAAGUGUGAAACCCACCUCAAGAUGAGAUUUCCCAUGAUUAUAUAUCAGUAAGAGCCCUGAGAGAUGAUCAGGUAGAUAGGUUAGAAGUGGAAGUGUGGCGACACAUGUAGCGGACUAAUACUAAUAGCUCGAGGACUUAUCCAA